CAGCCGCCGCGGUAAAACCAGCACCUCAAGUGGUCAGGAUGAUUAUUGGGCCUAAAGCAUCCGUAGCCGGCUCUGUAAGUUUUCGGUUAAAUCUGUACGCUCAACGUACAGGCUGCCGGGAAUACUGCAGAGCUAGGGAGUGGGAGAGGUAGACGGUACUCGGUAGGAAGGGGUAAAAUCCUUUGAUCUAUUGAUGACCACCUGUGGCGAAGGCGGUCCACCAGAACACGUCCGACGGUGAGGGAUGAAAGCUGGGGGAGCAAACCGGAUUAGAUACCCGGGUAGUCCCAGCUGUAAACUAUGCAAACUCAGUGAUGCAUUGGCUUGUGGCCAAUGCAGUGCUGCAGGGAAGCCGUUAAGUUUGCCGCCUGGGAAGUACGUACGCAAGUAUGAAACUUAAAGGAAUUGGCGGGGGAGCAC
RNAcentral lists this ribosomal RNA (420 nucleotides) under uncultured Nitrososphaerota archaeon. RNAcentral describes it as "bacterial SSU rRNA". It matches the Rfam family "Archaeal small subunit ribosomal RNA", at positions 459 to 879 of the family's 1478-position model. The record is from RNAcentral. Lineage: Archaea; Thermoproteati; Nitrososphaerota.